RNAcentral lists this ribosomal RNA (462 nucleotides) under uncultured Anoxybacillus sp. Its description in RNAcentral is "bacterial SSU rRNA". It matches the Rfam family "Bacterial small subunit ribosomal RNA", at positions 920 to 1382 of the family's 1533-position model. The record is from RNAcentral. Lineage: Bacteria; Bacillati; Bacillota; Bacilli; Caryophanales; Anoxybacillaceae.
CCCGCACAAGCGGUGAGCAUGUGGUUUAAUCGAAGCAACGCGAAGAACCUUACCAGGUCUUGACAUCCCCUGACAACCCGAGAGAUCGGGCGUUCCCCUUCGGGGGACAGGGUGACAGGUGGUGCAUGGUUGUCGUCAGCUCGUGUCGUGAGAUGUUGGGUUAAGUCCCGCAACGAGCGCAACCCUCGACCUUAGUUGCCAGCAUUCAGUUGGGCACUCUAAGGUGACUGCCGGCUAAAAGUCGGAGGAAGGUGGGGAUGACGUCAAAUCAUCAUGCCCCUUAUGACCUGGGCUACACACGUGCUACAAUGGGCGGUACAAAGGGUCGCGAACCCGCGAGGGGGAGCCAAUCCCAAAAAGCCGCUCUCAGUUCGGAUUGCAGGCUGCAACUCGCCUGCAUGAAGCCGGAAUCGCUAGUAAUCGCGGAUCAGCAUGCCGCGGUCGAAUACGUUCCCGGGCCUU